CCCUAACCGUGCAAAGGUAGCAUAAUCAUUUGCCUUUUAAUUGAAGGCUUGUAUGAAUGGUUUGACGAGGGCUAAGCUGUCUCUUUUGAAAUAUUUAGAAAUUAACUUUUAGGUGAAGAGGCCUAAAUUUGGCUGAGGGACAAGAAGACCCUGUUGAGCUUUAGUUUUAUACUAAAUAGGUUAUUAUGAUAUUUGUAAUAAGCGUGGACUUAGGUGUAAUGGGAUUUUAGUAUGAAUCUUUAGUUGGGGCGACUGAGGAACAGUUAGAGCUUCCUUUGGUUUAGAAGGGCGAAUGUGCGCUUAAAAAUGGUGUAUUCUUGCAGGUUGUUUUGAUCCAGUAAGAUACUGAUUAAAGGAAAAAGUUACCACAGGGAUAACAGCGUAAUCUUUCUGGAGAGAUCUUAUCGAAAGGAGGGUUUGCGACCUCGAUGUUGGACUAA
RNAcentral lists this ribosomal RNA (440 nucleotides) under Monodonta labio. RNAcentral describes it as "partial 16S rRNA". It matches the Rfam family "Bacterial large subunit ribosomal RNA", at positions 1940 to 2540 of the family's 2925-position model. Lineage: Eukaryota; Metazoa; Mollusca; Gastropoda; Trochida; Trochidae. The record is from RNAcentral.